RNAcentral lists this ribosomal RNA (536 nucleotides) under uncultured bacterium. Its description in RNAcentral is "bacterial SSU rRNA". It matches the Rfam family "Bacterial small subunit ribosomal RNA", at positions 777 to 1319 of the family's 1533-position model. The record is from RNAcentral.
AAUAGAUACCCGGGUAGUCUCGGCCCUAAACGAUGUUCACUAGGUGUUGGGGGGUAACCCUCGGUGCCGCAGCUAACGCAUUAAGUGAACCGCCUGGGGACUACGGCCGCAAGGUUGAAACUCAAAGGAAUUGGCGGGGGCCCGCACAAGCGGUGGAGCAUGUGGCUUAAUUCGAUGCAACGCGAAGAACCUUACCAGGGCUUGACAUGUAGCUGCAAGCUCCCGAAACGGAGUCGCCUUCGAGGGUGCUACACAGGUGGUGCAUGGCUGUCGUCAGCUCGUGUUGUGAAAUGUUGGGUUAAGUCCCGCAACCGAGCGCAACCCUCAUGGUCUGUUGCCAGCGAGUAAUGUCGGGAACUCGGACCAAACCGCCUCUGUAAGGAGGAGGAAGGUGGGGAUGACGUCAAGUCAUCAUGCCCCCUAGCCCUGGGCUGCACACAUGCUACAAUGGCCGGUACAAAGAGCUGCUAACUCGCGAGAGUACGCUAAUCUCAAAAAGCCGGUCUCAGUUCGGAUUGGGGUCUGCAACUGACCCC